RNAcentral lists this transfer RNA (66 nucleotides) under Rhodoprasina callantha. RNAcentral describes it as "tRNA-Leu". The record is from RNAcentral. Lineage: Eukaryota; Metazoa; Arthropoda; Insecta; Lepidoptera; Sphingidae.
ACUAUUUUGGCAGAAAAAUGUGAUGAUUUUAGAAGUCAUUAAUAUAUAGAUAUUAUAUAUUUAGUA